UGAAUACGAGAUGCUAAGGCGUCGAAGUAGUGUAUGUCAUGCUUCCAAGAAAAGCUUGCACUGUCAUAAUAAAAAAUGCCUGUACCAUAACCGACACAGGUGGGUAAGUAGAGUAUACUAAGGGGCGCGAGAUAACUCUCUCUAAGGAACUCGGCAAAAUGACUCCGUAACUUCGGGAGAAGGAGUGCCUUAUUUUUAAGGUUGCAAUAACAAGAUCCAAGCAACUGUUUAUCAAAAACACAGGUCUCCGCUAAGUCGUAAGACGAUGUAUGGGGGCUGACGCCUGCCCAGUGCCAGAAGGUUAAAGAAGUCGGUUAGCAAUUGCGAAGCUGGUAACUGAAGCUCUGGUGAACGGCGGCCGUAACAAUAACGGUCCUAAGGUAGCGAAAUUCCUUGUCGGGUAAGUUCCGACCCGCACGAAAGGCGUAAUGAUUUGGAUGCUGUCUCGGAGAGAGGCUCGGUGAAAUAGACUUGUCUGUGAAGAUGCGGACUACCUGCACCAGGACAGAAAGACCCUAUGAAGCUUUACUGUAACUUGAAAUUGAAAUUGGACUUUAUUCGCGCAGUAUAGGUGGGAGGCGUUGAUUAUAAUCUUGUGGGAUUAUUGGAGCCAUCAGUGAGAUACCACUCUUGUAAUGUUAGAUUUCUAACUUUGAAUCAUUAUCUGGUCAAAGGACAAUUUCAGGCGGGCAGUUUGACUGGGGCGGUCGCCUCCUAAAUGGUAACGGAGGCGUACAAAGGUUUCCUCUGAACGGUUAGAAAUCGUAUCUAGAGUGUAAAGGCAUAAGGAAGCUUGACUGUGAGACCUACAGGUCGAGCAGGGACGAAAGUCGGUCUUAGUGAUCUGACGGUACUGAGUGGAAAGGCCGUCACUCAACGGAUAAAAGUUACUCUAAGGAUAACAGGCUGAUCUCCCCCAAGAGUUCACAUCGACGGGGAGGUUUGGCACCUCGAUGUCGGCUCAUCGCAUCCUGGGGCGGUAGUACGUCCCAAGGGUUGGGCUGUUCGCCCAUGAAAGCGGUACGCGAGCUGGGUUCAGAACGUCGUGAGACAGUUCGGUCCAUAUCCGGUGUAGGCGUUAGAAUAUUGAGAGGAGCCUUCUUUGGUACGAGAGGACCGAGAAGGACAUACCUCUGGUGUACCAGUUAUCGUGCCAACGGUAAACGCUGGGUAGCUAUGUAUGGAGUGGAUAACCGCUGAAAGCAUCUAAGUGGGAAGCCCACCUCAAGAUAAGUAUUCUC
RNAcentral lists this ribosomal RNA (1241 nucleotides) under metagenome. RNAcentral describes it as "bacterial LSU rRNA". It matches the Rfam family "Bacterial large subunit ribosomal RNA", at positions 1564 to 2815 of the family's 2925-position model. The record is from RNAcentral.